GUUUGUGAUUGGUGAACUCCUCCUGCCUCUUUGCCAUCUGCAGUGUCUUCUGUCAGAGAAGGAAGUCCCCCUUGCAAAAAGUUCCAUCCAUCAGAGCUCUGAUACAGCUUCACCAUGAAGGUCCUCCUGCUUGCCACUGUUGUGCUACUGAUGAGUCUGACUCUGGCUGCUGACAAUGCUGAGAACCCAGCAAAACCUUCCGAAAAUACUACGUCUGCACCAUCUAGCCAAGCCAUGUUCCUUGGUGGUCCAGCUUCCUUUCUGCUACCACUCCUGAUGGCUGCAACUCAUCUCUUCUGAGUGUACUGAACCUGAAGGUGUCACUCCUCAGAGGGCGAAUCCAAGCUGCCCAGUGUGCCUUCAGAGGAACCUUCCCUCCGCUGCUAACAGCCUCACCUCUCCUCUAGCUGCAAACUACCCACAGUGCUGUGCCAUGCACAAAUAUCCACUGUCUAAAGGCUUCUUGGCUUCACCUUCAGCAUAAUAGUUCCUUUAUCUGCGGAAUGAGAAGAAAACUAGGAGGACUUGCUGAACCUGAUUCAGGUGUGUGGGCUCAUGUUCAGAUGGUCUGCAAUGCAGAUGACAUUCAGAGAGGGAGCCUGUGCAAACACAGUCGCCAACGCAGAAGGUCUAGUAUGCAUCUCCACAAAGACAUUUUGGUGCUCCAGAGGAUUACUCGGGUAUCGCCUACCCGUGUGCACUCAUUAACAAGAGGCACAAAUCCUCCAGGAUGUUUGCUUGGGCACACCCUCUAGGAACAAAUGGGGCUUGUGCGUUAACAGUGGUGGCUGGCAGUGGAAUCUGCUCGGGGUUUUUGUCCAAACCUUCAAGGAGCUGUCCAAAGUGCUUCAGCUCCUUGACAGUUCAGAUAAAAACCCAGAGCGGAUUCCACUGCCCCAGUAACUUGGAGCCACCAACCACCACUGGUGCAUAAGCACAGCAAGGCUCUUGUGCAUCUUCCAUUCAUUUCUGUUAGGAGAAUGUCUUCAGCCAUCAUGGCUCCAAUAUGCCUCCCAGUCUGCCACCUUCAACAGGUACCCCAAAUCUGUCAUCCAAGCUCUCAUCGUGAGAAGACCGCCUGCCUCUUGUUUUUGUAAGCCUAUCAGUUAAUGCUGGGCUAUGCCAUGUGAAGCAUCCUCCCAGCUAAAGAAACAUUUGGAGAAGCGUGUAGACCAGAGGCUGCUUCCUGGCCUUUGGGAAGUUCCUUCUUGAGCUGCAGCCCAUUCAGGUGGAGAAUAUCAACGCUUUGAACCGGCAGACCUCAAACCUCAAAACAUCAGCUGAAGAUGAUUCAAGAAGGCGCAAUGAAAACAAUGCAAGAUGCAAAAGUGUCUGUAAAUGCUCUGCUUUUGUCUCCUGUAAUCCCCAAGCAGGUUGGGUCAGUGAAUGAAAUAAAAGCUUCUUGGCUGGCAA
This is a long non-coding RNA of Rhineura floridana, 1413 nucleotides long. RefSeq lists it as uncharacterized. Lineage: Eukaryota; Metazoa; Chordata; Lepidosauria; Squamata; Rhineuridae. The transcript is spliced from 2 exons. The record is from RefSeq and is a predicted model, not a curated record.